AACGAACGCUGGCGGCAGGCUUAACACAUGCAAGUCGAGCGCCCCGCAAGGGGCGCGGCAGACGGGUGAGUACCGCGUGGGAACGUACCUUUUGGUUCGGAACAACUCCGGGAAACUGGAGCUAAUACCGGAUAAGCCCUAACGGGGAAAGAUUUAUCGCCGAAAGAUCGGCCCGCGUCUGAUUAGCUAGUUGGUGAGGUAACGGCUCACCAAGGCGACGAUCAGUAGCUGGUCUGAGAGGAUGAUCAGCCACACUGGGACUGAGACACGGCCCAGACUCCUACGGGAGGCAGCAGUGGGGAAUAUUGGACAAUGGGCGCAAGCCUGAUCCAGCCAUGCCGCGUGAGUGAUGAAGGCCUUAGGGUUGUAAAGCUCUUUUGUCCGGGAAGAUAAUGACUGUACCGGAAGAAUAAGCCCCGGCUAACUUCGUG
This 431-nucleotide ribosomal RNA is filed under the name uncultured bacterium. RNAcentral describes it as "partial 16S ribosomal RNA". It matches the Rfam family "Bacterial small subunit ribosomal RNA", at positions 29 to 507 of the family's 1533-position model. The record is from RNAcentral.